AAGCGUAAUAGCUCACUGGUCGAGUCGGCCUGCGCGGAAGAUGUAACGGGGCUAAACCAUGCACCGAAGCUGCGGCAGCGAACGUAUCACUUAAAGCGAUUCAGCGGGUUACGAUUGACGGAGCGAAGCGACGUCAAAGCGUAUACAAAGUCGAGUCGGUUUAAGGAUACGUUCGUUGGGUAGGGGAGCGUUCUGUAAGCCUGUGAAGGUGGCCUGUGAGGGUUGCUGGAGGUAUCAGAAGUGCGAAUGCU
RNAcentral lists this ribosomal RNA (251 nucleotides) under Salmonella enterica subsp. enterica serovar Dublin. RNAcentral describes it as "partial 23S ribosomal RNA". It matches the Rfam family "Bacterial large subunit ribosomal RNA", at positions 1130 to 1298 of the family's 2925-position model. Lineage: Bacteria; Pseudomonadati; Pseudomonadota; Gammaproteobacteria; Enterobacterales; Enterobacteriaceae. The record is from RNAcentral. RNAcentral also lists the same sequence under 1 other name.